Molecule: long non-coding RNA, 244 nt
Organism: Homo sapiens (human)
Lineage: Eukaryota; Metazoa; Chordata; Mammalia; Primates; Hominidae
Product: long independently transcribed non-coding RNA 3158
Exons: 3
Source: RefSeq, a predicted model, not a curated record
CUUCACAGCCUUCAUAAUCAAGGGUUUCUGCUUUUGCAUCUUCCUCAUUUUCUCUUGCUGCCACCAUGUAAGAAGUACCUUUUGCCUCUCUCCAUGAUUCUGCGGCCUCCCCAGUCAUGUGGAACUAUGGCAUUAGAAGUGGAACCCAAAGUAGAGCCUCUUGCAACCCCCAGAAGCACCAAGAGACCAAGAAAAAUACCUACCAGGCCCAUUGUGUUCAUUGCUCUCUUGCAGAAACUGGUGA